Molecule: RNA transcript, 3431 nt
Organism: Panicum virgatum (switchgrass)
Lineage: Eukaryota; Viridiplantae; Streptophyta; Magnoliopsida; Poales; Poaceae
Gene name: protein SIEL-like
Exons: 9
Source: RefSeq, a predicted model, not a curated record
ACCCGCCGUCGGCCGUUCCCCACGGGCCACUUCCCCGCCGGUGCUCACUGCCCACGCUCCUCAUUCCCAUUCCCAUGGGCGACCCGCACCUCCUCUCCUCCGCCCACUCUGCCUCCGCCACCACCUACUCCGCUCGAAAACACCCUAGCCCCAUCGACGAGCCCUUCUCCGAUCCCAGCCCGUCCGUCACCAAGCGGCCUAGGGUUGCGGCGGAGCCGUCCGCGCCCAGUGACGCGGCUCCGCACCCCGAGGCGGAGGUCCGGUCGCUCGUCAUGAUGGCCGGAGGAAUCUACCCGCUGGCGCGGGCCGAGGGGCUCCGCGGCCUCGCCGCGGUCCUGGAGAAGGUGGAUGCCGGCUGCUCUGUCGGCGCAAGGAUUGCGGACUGCUGCUACGAAUGCGCGGCGGAGCUCAUGAGGGAUGACGACGAGGGCGUCAGGCUGGCCGUCGUUCGAUUGGUAGGCCUAUGUGCUCAGAAGUUUUCUGCGAGAAUGGAUAUCGAUGCCAAGGGCCAUGGUGACCUCAUGGACUUGAUUUUCCUACAGCUCCAUGGCUAGGGACAUGUGCACAAAAGUGAGAAUUGAAGCAUUCAGUGCCCUCGGUAAAAUGCAACGAGUUUCUGAGGGUGUAUUACUUCAGUCGUUGUCUAAGAAGGUUAUAAAAACUGACACUAUGAGUAUCAUCAACGGGCAAAAGUUACUUCCUAAGAUAAAAAUUCCCUGUGCUGCUGGCAUUUUUGCCCAUGGAAUUGAAGAUGAGUUUUACCAGGUGCGAACAGCUGCUUGUACAUCAUUGGGAGCACUGGCAAAGUUUUCUAGUCAGUAUGCGGAGAAGGCCUUGGACUUGUUGAUGGACAUGAUGAAUGAUGAUACAGAAGCAGUUAGGCUGCAGACUUUGCAAGCACUAUUUCAUAUGGCAACAUAUGGAUAUUUGAGUAUGGAAGAGAAGCACAUGCAUAUGGGAAAUUUGUGGUAACCACAGUUACUAAAGCCAGUACCAGUGUCUUGAAGGAUGAGUACUGGCUGGAAAGUUAUCGGGAGGAAUCUUAAUUGACAGUGAUCUGACCUGUUAAAUUUGCACAAUGUUCUGCAGACUACUAUCAACAUGCAAGGAUAAUGAACUAGGCCAGAAUCCACAUGAAACAUUCAUGAACAAUUUUGAAGAAAAGCAGUUCAAUUUUGUAGUUCGUAUAAAUGUUUCUUGGCUUGCUGGUUGAUGCCAAUGCCUUAAUUCGAAAUGCAGCACACAAGAUCCUUGGGUUAGUCAACCUGCCCAAACUUCAAAUGUUCAAAUCUGCACUUGAUGGCCUCAUUACAAGUUUGGAGAAAAAUCCUGAGGAACAAGAUAUAUAUGGUAUUCUGUUUUCUAUUGGUAAGAAUCAUGGGAGCUUUUCAGCUAACAUAGCUAAACAUUUGGCCAAAGAGAUCACUAUGGCAUCUCACGGAGAGCUUAUCUUGGACAAACCUAGGAUCAAAGCAUUGCUAAUAGUGUCAAUCUCAGCAUCUUUUUCUGAUGAUAAGCACAAGAAGUUGGACAUACCUUCAAUUAUCUUCUCACAUACAAUUUCCCUAUUGGAGAAGGUCUCAUCUGCACUCGGAGAUGAGGUUAAUGAGGAUUCGAUUUUAUCCUACUUGUGUCAUAAAGGUGGAAUGCCAUUUUGGGGAAACAGAUCAAUAUCUACAGAGUUUGGAGUAUCUGAAAGCUGCAAAGUUGAAACUGUGGAAAUUGGCGCCAAAGUAGAAAAUACUGCAAAGACAGCUAAGUGUCUAGACAGAGUUCUGGUAAUGCAAUCCAUGGAAUCCAUACUACAAACUGUUGAAGUAGCCUGGACUAUGAAAAUGUCAAGCGAUAUUUUUGAAGCCCAAACUAUUUUGAGAACAUGCAAAGAAGAGCUAAAAGUAUUGGCUGAAAAUUCUGCUGGAUCAAUUGGUGCGUUCUCAAGCUUUCUAUGCGAGUAUCUUCAUGCAAUACACUUGAUCAUUGAAAUAUGGCAGUUGAUUAAAUUGGAUAAUUCUUAUACUUUUGGCCUAACAUCACAUGAUAUUUUACUGGAGAAGUUUAAUAUAUCCAUAAGAAGGAUGGAAUACUGUUAUGCUGGAUUAAAUAGAGAAUUGGAGGUUCAAGUGUUGGAGCUUUCUUUGUUAGCUAAUUUAUUUGGAUUGUCAAAGAUUGGAGCUUGUUCAAAGGUAGUUCUGGGUAAGUUGCUUUGGAUUAUUAGUCGCCUAGAAGGUCUGUGUGCUGAUGGGUCCUGUGAGCUGUCUGACUUCAGCAGAGAAAUUAAGAAAGCCUUGGAUGCCAACCCUAACGGCGAUACUCUGAUCGGCAACAUUCACACUUUGUUUGAACUCUUCCAUGUAAAACCAACAACAGAUUUUGGAAUGGUUAAAGAGAUAAGUGCAGUGUUGCAAGUUUGUGAUAACAGUUCUGAGAAUCCACUGUCAUACAUUUGUGGAUUACCAGUGGGCGUCAGUUUUAACAUAUCUCUGUGGAACAUAUCUAGCCAUCAUAGAUUAUGGUUCCGCAUGAGCAUUGGUGAGUCCGUGCAACAUGCCUUCUUAGAGUUUUCCUCAUUUGAAGGUAAUGAGGAGGUGAAGAAUGGCUCUAUGGUUGUUCCUCUUGAUGCCACUCCAAUGGCACAUUCAUUUGUGCUGAGGGUAUGUCUGCUAAUGGAGUGUUCAUAUGGUAUCAGCACCAACCAGGGAGGACAUGGAGGACCGAGUGAUUGUGUUGUCCAACUCUCUGAUGAACUGGAUGUUUAUUUUUUCAGUACUGGGCAAAGGUGAUGAAACCAGUGCUCAUCACAUGCGCGUCAUCUUCAACACUGUGCUCAAGUAUCGUGGAUGGUUCUCAUAACUUUCACAAUGCAAAAAGUAGAUUGUAACAACAGGCCAGAAAUAGGAGUACCAUGUUAUCCAUUGAAUUGAAUUACUCAUGUUCCAUGUGGAUGGACGAGGCAAGUGACUUGAAAAUCCUCGCCUCAGCCCUCAAGUCAUCCAGGAUUUCUGAUAAAAGGUUUCUUUUGUGUUGAGAUUUUUGUAGCAGGAACAGGAGCAAAGCAUAUGUGCCACGUGUUAUAACUGAAUGUGUAGUUUGGAGGUGCAAAUGGUUUGCGAUCAUGUUGAAGCUAUUUUGGAGUUUGUACCGAUUGUGAGCCUGAUGAUGGAGAAGGCCCAGCUUAACCUGCUGUACUGCUCAGUACAGGCAAUGCCCUUACCAUACUCGUGAUAUAUAGGCCAGUGUACUUGGCUAGUUCUUACUAGGUUUUAUUUUGUGUAGUUUACUAAGGGAUCAUGUCCAGAUUAUUGAGAUAUCUGCGUCAUGGACUCAUGGCCCUGAGAUGUGCGUCAAUUGAUAAGCUGGUUGUUGUUUUGCGAACCGAAGUAGUCAAACUUCUUGGCUCUUGCUGAUGAAUCAAACUCCCAUCGCCCUACAAA